This 253-nucleotide ribosomal RNA is filed under the name uncultured bacterium. RNAcentral's name for it is "partial 16S ribosomal RNA". It matches the Rfam family "Bacterial small subunit ribosomal RNA", at positions 524 to 776 of the family's 1533-position model. The record is from RNAcentral.
UACGUAGGGAGCAAGCGUUGUCCGGAUUUACUGGGCGUAAAGGGCGUGUAGGCGGAACGAUCAGUCGGGGGUGAAAGGUUCGAGCUCAACUCGGACAUUGCCUUCGAUACUGUCGUUCUUGAAUGCAGGAGAGGGUAGUGGAAUUCCCGGUGUAGCGGUGGAAUGCGCAGAUAUCGGGAGGAACACCGGUGGCGAAGGCGGCUGCCUGGCCUGACAUUGACGCUGAGACGCGAAAGUGUGGGGAGCAAACAGG